RNAcentral lists this long non-coding RNA (857 nucleotides) under Ananas comosus (pineapple). RNAcentral's name for it is "long non-coding RNA (ACOM_LNC029189)". Lineage: Eukaryota; Viridiplantae; Streptophyta; Magnoliopsida; Poales; Bromeliaceae. The record is from RNAcentral.
AACUUUAAUUGCUGAAAUCUCAGAAGAAUACAGCUAGAAGCAGAAACUCAAAAGCAAUACUCAAAUCGACUAAUAAAACGUCGAUAACGGAAAACUCGAGUCACAUACCUUCUUAAGCUUCCAACCAGCACCUCACUGGUUCAGAGCUGCGAAAAACUCUCCAAAAUACUCCCUCACACGUCCACGUAGGCCCUGCGACACAUGCGAACAGCGAAGAACCAACGUUGCGACGAAAACGAGCGAAAUCGGCGAAUUCUUUGUAGAGAGAGAAAAACCCUAGAGAGAAAGAGAGAGGAAGGUGGAAGAACAACCUCCUGAGUUCCAGCAACCAUUACUGAGCUCCCAGAGUCGUGCUGGGAUCAAAUAGGUGAGAGCAAGAUGUGAAAUUACCAAACUACCCAAGCUGCCACGAAUCUGCCAGCUUGUACCGGUACAAGGUGAUGGCUGUACCGGUACAACAAGCAGAAAAUUGCUGAUUUUCGCAGAUCAAUGCAAUUUCUCACUUUUAACCCUCCAAUCACUCUCUAACUUGGUCAAAAACUUGUCCAAGGCUAAUAGAACAUGUAGAAGAGUUCCACACAUCAAUCCACACACUCGAACUCUGCAAUUUGCGAAAGUUCAGUGUAUUACAAAAUUACAUAAUUUAUUUGGCACGUGCAGGCACCAAAAACAAUAUAAUCUAAUACUAGGUCCUUAUUAAAUUAUAACAAUUCACAUCGUCACAUGAUACAUACACAUCACAAGGUCGCUAUCCAUGAUCAUCACCUCAUAUACAUCACAUGCAUAUAAUAUUAAAUUCUCUAAUUUGAAUUCUAAUUAAUUGGGUUUCGGAUUAAUUUAAAAACAAAUCUUUAUUU